AGGUCAGUCACAGAUUCCUAAACAUGAUAUUGUAGUAGUAGUAGGCUACUUUGUUGAAGAAGAGUUUUUUUUGUCCAGCCGUUUAAACUCAACACAUGAAUGUGGAGGAUCCAAGAUGAUGAAAACUAGGCCUAAACAUUUUGUACAACACAGCAGGCAUAUAGACUUACCCGAUCCAUUGUGGAAGCUAGUGUUUAUUUGUAUGGCGUGACAUGUUGUAGGGUACAGUACAGUUGAACUACUUUGUUGUAGUGUUCAGAUAAUGAUUCUCAAGGCUGCGACUGAUGCGCCCCUAGACCAGAGCAAUCAAACAUCUAUUUAAAUAUCAAAACGUAAAUAAGUUAGAACAAAUAAACGUCUCAUGUAGCCUAAUAUUACUUCAGAAAGUUCCUGGAUAAAAUUUGACGUGAUCUAUUAAAGUGAAGAAAACGUUCAACACCCCCUUUCCCUAAGAAUCCUGUUGUCUGAUAUCGUCUACUUUUACCUGACAGCCACUUGGAACACAUGCGCAAAGAGGAAGUAUCUCAACAGGCUUCUCUCUCGCGAGGGAGUAUCUGGUUCUCGAACAACAUUGUCCUUGUGCGCCAAUUAGUUCAUAUUAGUGGGAAUCUAUUUACACGGAGAGGAAUUAUGGAAAGAUACAACUUUGAGGUUUGGACGUCACUCUACAGAUGGACCCUCUAUCCUGACACCUCUGGAGCAGUGCUGCAGGAUCUGUCACUCUACCCUCCUGUGUCUGUCUGCGUCUCCUCUCCCUGCCCCAGUACAGUCUGAUGUCAUGAGGGACUCUUUUUCAUGAUCCUCUAUUCCCGUGGCCCCUCUCCACCCUGGACCAUCGCCUAGCAACCGUGCUCAGAACCUUUGAGCCGUUGCCAGGAUCAACAGUGUAGCCUCCAUGGACGAGCCCUGCCACAAACGGACCAGCUGACAUGAUGUCAGUGAUUCUUUCGUUGACACGGGUGUGAGUGUUGACGAGGACAAGGCUGGAGAUCACUGUCAUGCUGAUUGAGUUUGAAUAACAGACUGGAAGCUUCAGGAGGGUGGUGCUUGGAACCAUUGCCAGUAAGAUUGUACCUAAAUCAACCAUUUAUCGGAUCAUCAAGAACUUCAAGGAGAGCGGUUCAAUUGUUGUGAAGAAGGCUUCAGGGCGCCCAAGAAAGUCCAGCAAGCGCCAGGACCGUCUCCUAAUGUUGAUUCAGCUGCGCGGGUCUGGGGUACCACCAGCACAGAGCUUGCUCAGGAAUGGCAGCAAGCAGGUGUGAGUGCAUCUGCACGUACAGUGAGGCAAAUACUUUUGGAGGAUGGCCUGGUUUCAAGAAGGGCAGCAAAGAAGCCAUUUCUCUCCA
This is a long non-coding RNA of Oncorhynchus gorbuscha (pink salmon), 1346 nucleotides long. RefSeq lists it as uncharacterized. The transcript has 4 exons. The record is from RefSeq and is a predicted model, not a curated record. NCBI's taxonomy places the organism in Eukaryota, Metazoa, Chordata, Actinopteri, Salmoniformes, Salmonidae.